RNAcentral lists this unclassified non-coding RNA (240 nucleotides) under soil metagenome. RNAcentral describes it as "partial contains 5.8S ribosomal RNA, internal transcribed spacer 2, and large subunit ribosomal RNA". The record is from RNAcentral.
AACGGUCUAUACCUGCGGUACCUGCGGAAGGAUCAUUACCGAGUUAUCAACUCCCAAACCCCUGUGAACGUACCCGAACGUUGCCUCGGCGGGACCGCCCCGGCGCCCCUAGCGGCCCGGAACCAGGCGCCCGCCGGAGGACCCAAACUCUUGCUUUAAACAGUGGCAUACUCUCUGAGUCUCACAAACAAAAAAUAAAUCAAAACUUUUAGCAAUGGAUCUCUAGAUCGGAAGAGCACA